UGGGGAAUCUUGCACAAUGGACGAAAGUCUGAUGCAGCAACGCCGCGUGGGGGAUGAAGCUUUUCGGAGUGUAAACCCCUUUCGACCCGGAAGAAUGCCCGCAAGGGUUUGACGGUACGGGUAUAAGAAGCCCCGGCUAACUACGUGCCAGCAGCCACGGUAAUACGUAGGGGGCCAGCGUUGCUCGGAAUUACUGGGCGUAAAGGGUCCGUAGGCGGUGUGGCAAGUCGGGAGUGAAAUCUCUGGGCUUAACCCAGAGGCUGCUUCCGAAACUGCCAUGCUAGAGUGUGAGAGAGGCGAGUGGAAUUACGGGUGUAGCGGUGAAAUGCGUAGAUAUCCGUAGGAACAUCCGAGGCGAAGGCGGCUCGCUGGAUCACAACUGACGCUGAGGGACGAAAGCUAGGGGAGCAAACAGGAUUAGAUACCCUGGUAGUCCUAGCCCUAAACCAUCAGGACUUGGGGUGUGCCCUGUACGGGGCACGUCCCGUAGCUAACGCGUUAAGUCCUGCGCCUGGGGAGUACGGUCGCAAGGCUG
This 535-nucleotide ribosomal RNA is filed under the name uncultured bacterium. Its description in RNAcentral is "bacterial SSU rRNA". It matches the Rfam family "Bacterial small subunit ribosomal RNA", at positions 355 to 896 of the family's 1533-position model. The record is from RNAcentral.